GUCUGGUAGUUCAGCUGGUUAGAAUACCUGCCUGUCACGCAGGGGGUCGCGGGUUCGAGUCCCGUCCAGACCG
Molecule: transfer RNA, 73 nt
Filed under: Tenacibaculum soleae
Lineage: Bacteria; Pseudomonadati; Bacteroidota; Flavobacteriia; Flavobacteriales; Flavobacteriaceae
Description: tRNA-Asp
Rfam family: tRNA
About the family: Transfer RNA (tRNA) molecules are approximately 80 nucleotides in length.
Source: RNAcentral